RNAcentral lists this ribosomal RNA (1244 nucleotides) under metagenome. RNAcentral describes it as "bacterial LSU rRNA". It matches the Rfam family "Bacterial large subunit ribosomal RNA", at positions 1564 to 2817 of the family's 2925-position model. The record is from RNAcentral.
UGAAUACGAGAUGCUACGGUGUUGAAGCAGUGUAUGUCAGACUUCCAAGAAAAGCUCGCAAUGUCAUAAAUAAAGAAUGCCUGUACCAUAACCGACACAGGUGGGUAGGUAGAGUAUACUAAGGGGCGCGAGAUAACUCUCUCUAAGGAACUCGGCAAAAUAACUCCGUAACUUCGGGAGAAGGAGUGCCUUCUUUAAGAAGGUUGCAAUAACAAGAUCCAAGCAACUGUUUAUCAAAAACACAGGUCUCCGCUAAGUCGUAAGACGAUGUAUGGGGGCUGACGCCUGCCCAGUGCCAGAAGGUUAAAGAAAUUGGUUAGCAUUUGCGAAGCUGAUGACUGAAGCCCUGGUGAACGGCGGCCGUAACAAUAACGGUCCUAAGGUAGCGAAAUUCCUUGUCGGGUAAGUUCCGACCCGCACGAAAGGCGUAAUGAUUUGGAUACUGUCUCGGAGAGGGGCUCGGUGAAAUAGACUUGUCUGUGAAGAUGCGGACUACCUGCACCAGGACAGAAAGACCCUAUGAAGCUUUACUGUAACUUGAAAUUGAAAUUGGACUUUAUUUGCGCAGCAUAGGUGGAAGGCGUUGGGACUAAUCUUGCGGGAUUGGUGGAGCCAUCAGUGAGAUACCACUCCUAUAAUGUUAGAUUUCUAACUUUGAAUCAUGAUCUGGUCAAAGAACAGUUUCAGGCGGGCAGUUUGACUGGGGCGGUCGCCUCCCAAAUGGUAACGGAGGCGUACAAAGGUUUCCUCUGAACGGGUAGAAAUCGUAUCUAGAGUGUAAAGGCAUAAGGAAGCUUGACUGUGGGACCUACAAGUCGAGCAGGGACGAAAGUCGGUCUUAGUGAUCUGACGGUGCUGAGUGGAAAGGCCGUCACUCAACGGAUAAAAGUUACUCUAGGAUAACAGGCUGAUCUCCCCCAAGAGUUCACAUCGACGGGGAGGUUUGGCACCUCGAUGUCGGCUCAUCGCAUCCUGGGGCGGUAGUACGUCCCAAGGGUUGGGCUGUUCGCCCAUGAAAGCGGUACGCGAGCUGGGUUCAGAACGUCGUGAGACAGUUCGGUCCAUAUCCGGUGUAGGCGUUAGAAUAUUGAGAGGAGCCUUCUUUAGUACGAGAGGACCGAGAAGGACAUACCUCUGGUGUACCAGUUAUCGUGCCAACGGUAAACGCUGGGUAGCUAUGUAUGGAGAGGAUAACCGCUGAAAGCAUCUAAGUGGGAAGCCCACCUCAAGAUGAGUAUUCUCGU